RNAcentral lists this ribosomal RNA (253 nucleotides) under uncultured bacterium. RNAcentral's name for it is "partial 16S ribosomal RNA". It matches the Rfam family "Bacterial small subunit ribosomal RNA", at positions 524 to 776 of the family's 1533-position model. The record is from RNAcentral.
UACAGCGGGGGCAAGCGUUGUUCGGAAUUACUGGGCGUAAAGGGCGCGUAGGCGGCCUGCUAAGUCGAACGUGAAAUCCCUGGGCUCAACCCAGGAACUGCGUCCGAUACUGGUUGGCUUGAAUCCGGGAGAGGGAUGUGGAAUUCCAGGUGUAGCGGUGAAAUGCGUAGAUAUCUGGAGGAACACCGGUGGCGAAGGCGACAUCCUGGACCGGUAUUGACGCUGAGGCGCGAAAGCCAGGGGAGCAAACGGG